This is a long non-coding RNA of Pteropus alecto (black flying fox), 315 nucleotides long. RefSeq lists it as uncharacterized. NCBI's taxonomy places the organism in Eukaryota, Metazoa, Chordata, Mammalia, Chiroptera, Pteropodidae. The record is from RefSeq and is a predicted model, not a curated record. The transcript has 3 exons.
AUUUCAGCAUGACUUGUAUAAAUACUCUUUCGAGUCUAUGUUUUCAUGAUGUUAGUCAAUCAUAUGAAGUUGCUUGAGAGUGCAUUUGUUAGUUACUGGCUGGAAAAAGUGGGCCCUGGCAUCCCACCCAGAAGGAAUGAUUUUCCCGAGAGGAAAUGGCUGGAAGUGAGUGAAAAUCUGGAAUCCAGGAACAGGAUUUAAUCAUGGCAUUAUGAGGUCACUCUCUCUGUAUCAGGAUGUGACCAACUUGUGGAGUUGGGUUAGUUGGCUUCAUUAUCCUCCUGCAACAUUUCCUUUGCACUUGUUGAUUUCCAU